GAUGAACGCUGGCGGCGUGCUUAACACAUGCAAGUCGAACGAUGAAGCUCAGCUUGCUGGGUGGAUUAGUGGCGAACGGGUGAGUAACACGUGAGUAACCUGCCCUUAACUCUGGGAUAAGCCUGGGAAACUAGGUCUAAUACCGGAUAGGAGCGCCUACCGCAUGGUGGGCGUUGGAAAGAUUUAUCGGUUUUGGAUGGACUCGCGGCCUAUCAGCUUGUUGGUGAGGUAAUGGCUCACCAAGGCGACGACGGGUAGCCGGCCUGAGAGGGUGACCGGCCACACUGGGACUGAGACACGGCCCAGACUCCUACGGGAGGCAGCAGUGGGGAAUAUUGCACAAUGGGCGAAAGCCUGAUGCAGCGACGCCGCGUGAGGGAUGACGGCCUUCGGGUUGUAAACCUCUUUCAGUAGGGAAGAAGCGAAAGUGACGGUACCUGCAGAAGAAGCACCGGCUAACUACGUG
RNAcentral lists this ribosomal RNA (466 nucleotides) under uncultured bacterium. RNAcentral describes it as "partial 16S ribosomal RNA". It matches the Rfam family "Bacterial small subunit ribosomal RNA", at positions 28 to 507 of the family's 1533-position model. The record is from RNAcentral.